AACCGUGCGAAGGUAGCGUAAUCACUUGCCCUUUAAAUGAGGGCUAGUAUGAAUGGCAUCACGAAAGUUGUACUGUCUCCUUCCCCUAAUCAGUGAAACUAAUCUCCCCGUGAAGAAGCGGGGAUACUCCUAUAAGACGAGAAGACCCUAUGGAGCUUUAAACCAAGCAUCAACUGCCGCUAUAAACCUACAAUUCCAGAAAUAUAAUCUGUACGCUAGCAUAGUGUAGUGCUGGUUUUAGGUUGGGGUGACCAUGGAGUAAAAACAAACCUCCAUGUUGAAUCAGGACCUCCUUAAGCAAUAAGCCACAACUUUAUGCAUCAAUAAAUUGACAUUAAUUGACCCAAUUCUUUGAUCAACGAACCAAGUUACCCUAGGGAUAACAGCGCAAUCCAUUUCAAGAGCCCC
Molecule: ribosomal RNA, 408 nt
Filed under: Gastrotheca cornuta (horned marsupial frog)
Lineage: Eukaryota; Metazoa; Chordata; Amphibia; Anura; Hemiphractidae
Description: partial 16S ribosomal RNA
Rfam family: Bacterial large subunit ribosomal RNA
Source: RNAcentral